UGAACAGAAAUAGAGAUAAGUUUGCGUCACCAACUUGAGCUUUGAGCCUUGAGUUCUCAUCAUGUUGCCACCAUCCUUCAGCUAAAACUGAUUAGGGAACCAAGAAAUCUCACCAUCCUUCAGUGAAGAAGGAAGAUCGGUGAAGAGCCCGCAGUUCGGCUUUGCCUGAAAGAACCAAAAUUCGUCAUCCUUCCUUCGGGCAAGCUUAUGCGACUCGGCAAAGACUUUAGCCAUGGGCUCCAGUCUCUUGGCUCGGCAGAGGCCCCGGAAGGCUACUAAAGUCCACCAGGAGUUUGGAUGCACUUGAGCUACCGAGACA
Molecule: unclassified non-coding RNA, 319 nt
Filed under: Hevea brasiliensis (rubber tree)
Lineage: Eukaryota; Viridiplantae; Streptophyta; Magnoliopsida; Malpighiales; Euphorbiaceae
Source: RNAcentral